AGGGAAGGCGUAGCGAAAGCGAGUCUUAAUAGGGCGAAUUAGUCGCUGGGUAUAGACCCGAAACCGGGCGAUCUAUCCAUGAGCAGGUUGAAGGUUAGGUAACACUGACUGGAGGACCGAACCCACUUCCGUUGAAAAGGCAGGGGAUGACUUGUGGAUCGGAGUGAAAGGCUAAUCAAGCUCGGAGAUAGCUGGUUCUCCUCGAAAGCUAUUUAGGUAGCGCCUCACGUAUCACUCCAGGGGGUAGAGCACUGUUUCGGGCUAGGGG
Molecule: ribosomal RNA, 268 nt
Filed under: Pseudomonas sp. ATCC 13867
Lineage: Bacteria; Pseudomonadati; Pseudomonadota; Gammaproteobacteria; Pseudomonadales; Pseudomonadaceae
Description: partial 23S ribosomal RNA
Rfam family: Bacterial large subunit ribosomal RNA
Source: RNAcentral